RNAcentral lists this ribosomal RNA (1245 nucleotides) under Staphylococcus pseudintermedius. RNAcentral's name for it is "bacterial SSU rRNA". It matches the Rfam family "Bacterial small subunit ribosomal RNA", at positions 191 to 1423 of the family's 1533-position model. The record is from RNAcentral. Lineage: Bacteria; Bacillati; Bacillota; Bacilli; Caryophanales; Staphylococcaceae.
GGUUCUACAGUGAAAGACGGUCUUGCUGUCACUUAUAGAUGGACCCGCGCCGUAUUAGCUAGUUGGUGGGGUAACGGCCUACCAAGGCGACGAUACGUAGCCGACCUGAGAGGGUGAUCGGCCACACUGGAACUGAGACACGGUCCAGACUCCUACGGGAGGCAGCAGUAGGGAAUCUUCCGCAAUGGGCGAAAGCCUGACGGAGCAACGCCGCGUGAGUGAUGAAGGUCUUCGGAUCGUAAAGCUCUGUUGUUAGGGAAGAACAAAUGUGUAAGUAACUGUGCACAUCUUGACGGUACCUAACCAGAAAGCCACGGCUAACUACGUGCCAGCAGCCGCGGUAAUACGUAGGUGGCAAGCGUUAUCCGGAAUUAUUGGGCGUAAAGCGCGCGUAGGCGGUUUUUUAAGUCUGAUGUGAAAGCCCACGGCUCAACCGUGGAGGGUCAUUGGAAACUGGAAAACUUGAGUGCAGAAGAGGAAAGUGGAAUUCCAUGUGUAGCGGUGAAAUGCGCAGAGAUAUGGAGGAACACCAGUGGCGAAGGCGGCUUUCUGGUCUGCAACUGACGCUGAUGUGCGAAAGCGUGGGGAUCAAACAGGAUUAGAUACCCUGGUAGUCCACGCCGUAAACGAUGAGUGCUAAGUGUUAGGGGGUUUCCGCCCCUUAGUGCUGCAGCUAACGCAUUAAGCACUCCGCCUGGGGAGUACGGUCGCAAGACUGAAACUCAAAGGAAUUGACGGGGACCCGCACAAGCGGUGGAGCAUGUGGUUUAAUUCGAAGCAACGCGAAGAACCUUACCAAAUCUUGACAUCCUUUGACCGCUCUAGAGAUAGAGUUUUCCUCUUCGGAGGACAAAGUGACAGGUGGUGCAUGGUUGUCGUCAGCUCGUGUCGUGAGAUGUUGGGUUAAGUCCCGCAACGAGCGCAACCCUUGAACUUAGUUGCCAUCAUUCAGUUGGGCACUCUAAGUUGACUGCCGGUGACAAACCGGAGGAAGGUGGGGAUGACGUCAAAUCAUCAUGCCCCUUAUGAUUUGGGCUACACACGUGCUACAAUGGACAAUACAAAGGGCAGCGAAACCGCGAGGUCAAGCAAAUCCCAUAAAGUUGUUCUCAGUUCGGAUUGUAGUCUGCAACUCGACUACAUGAAGCUGGAAUCGCUAGUAAUCGUAGAUCAGCAUGCUACGGUGAAUACGUUCCCGGGUCUUGUACACACCGCCCGUCACACCACGAGAGUUUGUAACACCCG